Long non-coding RNA from Mauremys reevesii (Reeves's turtle), 589 nucleotides. RefSeq lists it as uncharacterized. Lineage: Eukaryota; Metazoa; Chordata; Testudines; Geoemydidae. The transcript has 5 exons. The record is from RefSeq and is a predicted model, not a curated record.
CCUUCUGGAUAUGCUGAAACCUCCACCAGCAUUCCUGAAGUCAGGAAGUACUUCACUGAAGAGGAGGAAGACGCCAUAGAGGAACAACUUUUGGGCCUUUUGUGCAACUGUAACACUGAAGGUCUGCUAUCCCAAAUUUCCAGUUCCAGAGGCCUAUCAAACAACUAGCGUGAGGGGCAGUGCCUGCUCCCUGGGUGGGAACUGGGCCUGGUGGCUGCUCCUGGAAUAUCCCAGAGAUGUCGUAAAAGUCAAGAGAUCAUAACACAUGGUGCUUCAUCUUAUUAAAUGAGCAAGAAUAUAUGAAAAACAGAACUUCAAGAUAUUGUACAGUGGGGAAAUUGAGGUACAGGGAGGUGAAGUAACUUGCCCAAGGAGACCCAAUAGCAGACCAAUUCAUGAAGUCCUUCCAGGUGCAAAAUUCCCCAUGUUUCCAAAUCCUGAGAGCUGCUGGAUGCCUGAGAAACAGCUACACCAGCCAGAGUCUGGCUGAUGUUUGUAAGGACUGAGUGAAACCUGAGUAUCAGCUUCAGGAUUCGGCCCAGUCAUUUUUUAGGGUUAUGCUUUGUGUUGCAGUUUAAAACACUUUCAU